RNAcentral lists this long non-coding RNA (308 nucleotides) under Citrus sinensis (sweet orange). RNAcentral describes it as "long non-coding RNA (CSIN_LNC002165)". The record is from RNAcentral. Lineage: Eukaryota; Viridiplantae; Streptophyta; Magnoliopsida; Sapindales; Rutaceae.
UAGAGUGAGAAUUUUUGAUUUUGGGUUUUAUGUGGAGAGAUGAUGAAAUCAAGUUUUGAGAGUGAAGAUUGAAGGAGUAAUGGAUGAAUAAUGAGUUGGAUGAUUGAUUUUAACAAGAAAAUGAGUAAAAGAUGAAGAGAUUUGAGAAAGAAAAAUGGAGAACACUAUUCACGCGGGAAUGGAAUGAGGAUGGAAUGAUGAAGAACAAGUAAAGAAAUCAUGAUGGAGAAGUGUUUAAUGAAGAUGAAAUGCAUGGGUAUUAGUUUGAAUGGUUGAUUUGGGCAUAAAAAUGGAUGAAAAAUGAAGAA